GUUCCUGUGGCUUAGUGGUUAGAGCGUCAGUCUCGAAUGCGGGAGGUCGUGGAUUCGAUCCCUGGUUGAGUCA
Potamilus streckersoni is the source of this 73-nucleotide non-coding RNA. Lineage: Eukaryota; Metazoa; Mollusca; Bivalvia; Unionida; Unionidae. The record is from the annotation of a GenBank genome assembly.